This 103-nucleotide small RNA is filed under the name Klebsiella pneumoniae. RNAcentral's name for it is "partial RtT sRNA". It matches the Rfam family "RtT RNA", at positions 1 to 100 of the family's 130-position model. From Rfam's summary of the family: This family represents a bacterial cis-regulatory element known as RtT RNA. The exact function of RtT is unknown although it is thought that it may be involved in changing the cellular response in relation to amino acid starvation. Lineage: Bacteria; Pseudomonadati; Pseudomonadota; Gammaproteobacteria; Enterobacterales; Enterobacteriaceae. The record is from RNAcentral.
UGCAUCUGAGGCCUGCGAGGAUGAGAACCUCCGGGGGCAGGAGGUUCGACUCGAGCGAAGCGAGAGAACGUUGCGUCAGCAACGGCCCGCAGGGCGAGCCACG